GUCUACAGCCAUAUCACCAUGAACACACCCAAUCUCUUCUGAUCUUGGAAGCUAAGCAGGGUUGGACGUGGUUAGUACUUGGAUGGAGAGAGAAGGAAGAACUCAUAUACA
RNAcentral lists this ribosomal RNA (111 nucleotides) under Sorex araneus (European shrew). The record is from RNAcentral. Lineage: Eukaryota; Metazoa; Chordata; Mammalia; Eulipotyphla; Soricidae.